This 1098-nucleotide long non-coding RNA is filed under the name Fragaria vesca (wild strawberry). Its description in RNAcentral is "long non-coding RNA (FVES_LNC005230)". Lineage: Eukaryota; Viridiplantae; Streptophyta; Magnoliopsida; Rosales; Rosaceae. The record is from RNAcentral.
GAAGUUUUGAUUCAUUGGCCUAGUUAGCCUUAGAAAUGGACUAAGUGCUAGUUAUGAAUGUUGUUGAGCAUGAUGAGAGGAAUAUUCUAUGAAAAUUUGAGAAGCAUUGGAGGUCGCCGGAAAACGGCUGCCGGCCGCCGCCAUCGGCGGGCCAGCCGCCGCCGCCGCCCCUUAGGGGCAGUUUUUCAUGCUUUUUGGGUUUGUUUUAAUGAGAGGAGUUUAAUGAAGUAUAGUUUGGAAUUUUUGGAGGAGAUUUGAUAAGGUUUAGGAUUUAUCUAUGAUUAAGGAUUUAGGCGGUUAUUCGAAUAGAAAUCCGGCAGUUGGUUUAGCAGGUUUUAAAGUCUAAAAAGGUUAAAUUAUGGCUUUCGGUAAGUGCGAAGUAAUGUGAGCCUUAUUAGGUAAAAUGUGGAGAAGUUAGGCAAGCAAAAUGAAAUUAUAGGCUUCCUUUUUAUUUCGGAAAUUUGAUUAAAGUUUUGUCCUGGUUUGGAGGCUAAAUGAUUAUUUAUUGUUCAGGACGUGAGGAGGAUCAUUUGGAGGAGGCCUCGGGCCGUCGGCAAGCAUAGCCGAGCACUAUGAGUGGACCUUUGAUUUUAAUAUCAUGCAUGCGCUAAAGUUAUUUAAUUUCAAAGGCAUUUGGAGAUAUAAUAUUUUGUUGGAUUAUCGAGUUCCACUUAUUUUUCCGGAACUCUCUUGCUAAUUUUAGUUGACACGUGGGACGUGUCAAGUGUUUUAUACUAUUUCCAUGUACAGUUGGGAACUGUACUGUGCGCUAUGAGUUUAUUAUAAUUUAUUUGGGGAAGUGUGGAUCAUUUUAUUUUAAUAUUGUACUUCACCAUAAAAGGAUUGAUAUAUAGAUUAUUGCUAGCUAACCUUAUUAGCGGUCCUCAUCAUAUGUGAGUCGCUAUUAUAGUCUUAUUAGCGGUACUCAUCAUAUGUGGGUAGAGCGCUUAGCGUGGGACGCUAUUAUAGCCUGGGAGGCAACCGAUCGGUAUAUAUAUAUAUAUAUAUUUAUUGUUAGCUAGCCAUUAUUUAGCGGUUCUCAUCAUAUGAGAAUUGAGCGCUUAGCGUGGGACGCUAUUAUAACUUUUUAAGCGGUCC